Molecule: ribosomal RNA, 443 nt
Filed under: uncultured bacterium
Lineage: Bacteria
Description: partial 16S ribosomal RNA
Rfam family: Bacterial small subunit ribosomal RNA
Source: RNAcentral
CCUACGGGUGGCAGCAGUGGGGAAUAUUGGACAAUGGGCGCAACCCUGAUCCAGCGACGCCGCGUGAGUGAAGAAGUAUUUCGGUAUGUAAAGCUCUAUUAGCAGGGACGAAAGGAAUGACGGUACCUGACUAAGAAGCCACGGCUAACUACGUGCCAGCAGCCGCGGUAAUACGUAGGGGGCAAGCGUUAUCCGGAUUUACUGGGUGUAAAGGGCGCGUAGGCGGGUACGCAAGUCUGGUGUGAAAGGCGGGGGCUCAACCCGCGGACUGCAUUUGAAACUGUCUAUCUUGAGUGCAGGAGAGGGAAGUGGAAUUCCUGGUGUAGCGGUGAAAUGCGUAGAUAUUAGGAGGAACACCAGUGGCGAAGGCGGCCUACUGGACUGCAACUGACGUUGAGGCUCGAAAGCGUGGGGAGCAAACAGGAUUAGAUACCCUAGUAGUC